This 168-nucleotide non-coding RNA is filed under the name uncultured Anaerovibrio sp. Its description in RNAcentral is "glmS glucosamine-6-phosphate activated ribozyme". It matches the Rfam family "glmS glucosamine-6-phosphate activated ribozyme aptamer", at positions 11 to 159 of the family's 167-position model. Rfam says of the family: This entry contains a glucosamine-6-phosphate activated ribozyme that is found in the mRNA for GlmS. Lineage: Bacteria; Bacillati; Bacillota; Negativicutes; Selenomonadales; Selenomonadaceae. The record is from RNAcentral.
UAGCGCAUGGUCUUGGGAACGGGAAAGCAGCGUUAUUUGCUGGCAGCCCGUGUAACAAGAUGACGAGGAUGGAGGUUGUCGAUGUAUCAGCGGAUGCCUCCCGGUGGGAUGCCCCAUCGUCAGCAGCUGUCAAAGCCACCAGGUGACUGAGGGUACAAAGCAGCGGGC